RNAcentral lists this ribosomal RNA (253 nucleotides) under uncultured bacterium. RNAcentral's name for it is "partial 16S ribosomal RNA". It matches the Rfam family "Bacterial small subunit ribosomal RNA", at positions 524 to 776 of the family's 1533-position model. The record is from RNAcentral.
UACGUAGGUGGCAAGCGUUCUCCGGAUUUACUGGGCGUAAAGAGCGCGCAGGCGGUCGUUCAAGUCGCGUGUGAAAGCCCCCGGCUCAACUGGGGAGGGUCACGCGAUACUGAUCGACUCGAAGGCAGGAGAGGGUAGUGGAAUUCCCGGUGUAGUGGUGAAAUGCGUAGAUAUCGGGAGGAACACCAGUGGCGAAGGCGGGUUGCUGGGCCGACACUGACGCUGAUGCGCGAAAGCCAGGGGAGCGAACGGG